GGGUGCGAUCAUACCAGCACUAAUGCACCGGAUCCCAUCAGAACUCCGCAGUUAAGCGUGCUUGGGCGAGACUAGUACUAGGAUGGGUUACCUCCUGGGAAGUCCUCGUGUUGCACCCC
This is a non-coding RNA of Gossypium arboreum, 119 nucleotides long. The record is from Rfam. Lineage: Eukaryota; Viridiplantae; Streptophyta; Magnoliopsida; Malvales; Malvaceae.